Molecule: ribosomal RNA, 544 nt
Filed under: [Setosphaeria] turcica f. sp. zeae
Lineage: Eukaryota; Fungi; Ascomycota; Dothideomycetes; Pleosporales; Pleosporaceae
Description: eukaryotic LSU rRNA
Rfam family: 5.8S ribosomal RNA (bases 173-326)
Source: RNAcentral
GGGCUAUCAACAAUGUAGGUAGGGUACUGGCAACAGUGCUCUGCUGAAAUAUUUUCACCCAUGUCUUUUGCGCACUUUUUGUUUCCUGGGCGAGUUUGCUCGCCACCAGGACCCCCAUAUGAACCUUUUUUGUUUUUGCACUCAGCGUCAGUACAAUAAUUUAAUCUAUUAAAACUUUCAACAACGGAUCUCUUGGUUCUGGCAUCGAUGAAGAACGCAGCGAAAUGCGAUACGUAGUGUGAAUUGCAGAAUUCAGUGAAUCAUCGAACCUUUGAACGCACAUUGCGCCCUUUGGUAUUCCAAAGGGCAUGCCUGUUCGAGCGUCAUUUGUACCCUCAAGCUUUGCUUGGUGUUGGGCGUCUUAUUGUCUCUCCGUCUCGGGGAGACUCGCCUUAAAACAAUUGGCAGCCGGCCUACUGGUUUCGGAGCGCAGCACAAAUUUGCGCUUGCAAUCAGCCAAGGGCGGCAUCCAUGAAGCCUUUUUUCUCUCACAUUUUGACCUCGGAUCAGGUAGGGAUACCCGCUGAACUUAAGCAUAUCAAAA